RNAcentral lists this ribosomal RNA (574 nucleotides) under uncultured bacterium. Its description in RNAcentral is "bacterial SSU rRNA". It matches the Rfam family "Bacterial small subunit ribosomal RNA", at positions 337 to 903 of the family's 1533-position model. The record is from RNAcentral.
UCCUACGGGAGGCAGCAGUGGGGAAUAUUGGACAAUGGGCGCAAGCCUGAUCCAGCCAUACCGCGUGUGUGAAGAAGGCCUUCGGGUUGUAAAGCACUUUAAGUAAGGAAGAAAAGUAUAUUGUUAAUACCAAUAUACCGUGACAUUACUUACAGAAUAAGGACCGGCUAAUUCCGUGCCAGCAGCCGCGGUAAUACGGAAGGUCCAAGCGUUAAUCGGAAUUACUGGGCGUAAAGCGCGCGUAGGUGGUUUAUUAAGUUGGGUGUGAAAGCCCCGGGCUCAACCUGGGAACUGCAUCCAAAACUGAUUCACUAGAGUACGAAAGAGGGAGGUAGAAUUCACAGUGUAGCGGUGGAAUGCGUAGAUAUUGUGAAGAAUACCAAUGGCGAAGGCAGCCUCCUGGUUCUGUACUGACACUGAGGUGCGAAAGCGUGGGUAGCGAACAGGAUUAGAUACCCUGGUAGUCCACGCCGUAAACGAUGACAACCAGCUGUUGGGAAGCAAUGCUUUUCAGUGGCGCAGCUAACGUCUUAAGUUGUCCGCCUGGGGAGUACGGCCGCAAGGUUAAAACUCA